GACGAACGCUGGCGGCGUGCCUAACACAUGCAAGUCGAACGGAAAGGCCCUGCUUUCUUGUGGUUCUCGCGUCGCGAACGGGUGUGUAACACGUGAGUCACCUUCCCUUUACUUUGUGAUAUCUUCAGGAAACUGGUGCUACUACCUGCUUGGAGCUCCUGCUGCAUGGUGGGGUUUGGAAAGCUUGAGCUGUUGGGGAUGUACUCGCGGCUUAUUAGCUUGUUGGUGGGGUAGUGGCUUACCAAGGCUUCGACGGGUAGCCGGACUGAGUGGGUGACCGGCCACAUUGGGACUGAGAUAAGGCCCAGACGCGUAAGGGAGGCAGAAGUGGGGAAUAUUGCACAAUGGGCGGAAGCCUGAGGCAGAGACGCCGCGUGCGGGAUGAAGGCCUUGGGGUUGUAAACGGCAUUCGGCUGUGACGAAGCGUGAGUGACGGUAAUGGGUGAAGAAGCACCGGCUAACUACGUG
Molecule: ribosomal RNA, 468 nt
Filed under: uncultured bacterium
Lineage: Bacteria
Description: partial 16S ribosomal RNA
Rfam family: Bacterial small subunit ribosomal RNA
Source: RNAcentral